This 460-nucleotide ribosomal RNA is filed under the name uncultured bacterium. RNAcentral describes it as "partial 16S ribosomal RNA". It matches the Rfam family "Bacterial small subunit ribosomal RNA", at positions 338 to 795 of the family's 1533-position model. The record is from RNAcentral.
CCUACGGGAGGCAGCAGUGAGGAAUAUUGGUCAAUGGGCGCGAGCCUGAACCAGCCAAGUCGCGUGAGGGAGGACGGCCCUACGGGUUGUAAACCUCUUUUGCCGGGGAGCAACGGGCGUCACGUGUGGCGCCCCUGAGAGUACCCGGAGAAAAAGCAUCGGCUAACUCCGUGCCAGCAGCCGCGGUAAUACGGAGGAUGCGAGUGUUAUCCGGUUUUAUUGGGGUUAAAGGGUGCGUAGGCGGAUCGUUAAGUCAGUGGUCAAAUUGAGGGGCUCAACCCCUUCCCGCCAUUGAAACUGGCGCUCUUGAGUGGAAGAGAAGUAUGCGGAAUGCGUGGUGUAGCGGUGAAAUGCAUAGAUAUCACGCAGAACCCCGAUUGCGAAGGCAGCAUGCCGGCUUCCGACUGACGCUGAAGCACGAAAGCGUGGGGAUCGAACAGGAUUAGAUACCCGAGUAGUC